RNAcentral lists this ribosomal RNA (1481 nucleotides) under uncultured Bordetella sp. RNAcentral describes it as "partial 16S-23S ribosomal RNA intergenic spacer". It matches the Rfam family "Bacterial small subunit ribosomal RNA". Lineage: Bacteria; Pseudomonadati; Pseudomonadota; Betaproteobacteria; Burkholderiales; Alcaligenaceae. The record is from RNAcentral.
GGUUUGAUCAUGGCUCAGAUUGAACUGGCGGGAUGCUUUACACAUGCAAGUCGAACGGCAGUACGGACUUCGGUCUGGUGGCGAGUGGCGAACGGGUGAGUAAUGUAUCCGGAACGUGCCUAGUAGCGGGGAUAACUACGCGAAAGCGUAGCUAAUACCGCAUACGCCCUUCGGGGAAAGCGGGGGACCUUCGGGCCUCGCACUAUUAGAAACGGCCGAUAUCCCGGAUUAGCUAGUUGGUGGGGUAACGGCUCACCAAGGCGACGAUCCGUAGCUGGUUUGAGGACGACCAGCCACACUGGGAUGAGACACGGCCCAGACUCCUACAGGAGGCAGCAGUGGGGAAUUUUGGACAAUGGGGGAAACCCUGAUCCAGCCAUCCCGCGUAUGCGAUGAAGGCCUUCGGGUUGUAAAGCACUUUUGGCAGGAAAGAAACGGCACGGGAUAAUACCCCGUGCAACUGACGUACCUGCAGAAUAAGCACCGGCUAACUACGUGCCAGCAGCCGCGGUAAUACGUAGGGUGCAAGCGUUAAUCGGAAUUACUGGGCGUAAAGCGUGCGCAGGCGGUUCGGAAAGAAAGAUGUGAAAUCCCAGAGCUUAACUUUGGAACUGCAUUUUUUAACUACCGAAGCUGAGUGUGUCAGAGGAGGUGGAAUUCCGCGUGUAGCAGUGAAAUGCGUAGAUAUGCGGAGGAACACCGAUGGCGAAGGCAGCCUCCUGGGAUAACACUGACGCUCAUGCACGAAAAGCGUGGGGGAGCAAACAGGAUUAGAUACCUGGUAGUCCACGCCCUAAACGAUGUCAACUAGCUGUUGGGGCCUUCCGGGCCUUGGUAGCGCAACUAACGCGUGAAGUUGACCGCCUGGGGGAUACGGUCACCAAGAUUAAAACUCAAAGGAAUUGACGGGGUUGCACAAGCAGUGGAUGAUGGAUUAAUUCGAUGCAACGCAGAAAAACCUUACCUACCCUUGACAUGUCUGGAAUCCCGAGAUUUGGGAGUGCUCGCAAGAGAACCGGAACACAGGUGCUGCAUGGCUGUCGUCCAGCUCGUGUCGUGAGAUGUUGGGUUAAGUCCGCAACGAGCGCAACCCUUGUCAUUAGUUGCCACGAAAGGGCACUCUAAUGAGACUGCCGGUGACAAACCGGAGGAAGGUGGGGAUGACGUCAGAGUCAUGGCCCUUAUGGGUAGGGCUUCACACGUCAUACAAUGGUCCGGGACAAGGGUCGCCAACCCGCGAGGGGGGCCAAUCCCAGAAACCCGAUCGUAGUCCGGAUCGCAGUCUACCCAACUCGACUGCGUGAAGUCGGAAUCGCUAGUAAUCGCGGAUGCAGCAUGUCGCGGUGAAUACGUUCCCGGGUCUUGUACACACCGCCCGUCACACCAUGGGAGUGGGUUUUACCGAAGUAGUUAGCCUAACCGUAAGGAGAGCGGUACCACCACGGUAAGUUCAUGACUGGGGUGAAGUCGUAACAAGGUAA